RNAcentral lists this ribosomal RNA (550 nucleotides) under uncultured bacterium. RNAcentral's name for it is "bacterial SSU rRNA". It matches the Rfam family "Bacterial small subunit ribosomal RNA", at positions 91 to 676 of the family's 1533-position model. The record is from RNAcentral.
GGGAGUGGCAGACGGGUGAGUAACGCGUGGGAAUCUACCCAGAUCUUCGGAACAACUGAGGGAAACUUCAGCUAAUACCGGAUACGCCCUACGGGGGAAAGAUUUAUCGGUUCUGGAUGAGCCCGCGUUGGAUUAGCUAGUUGGUGGGGUAAUGGCCUACCAAGGCGACGAUCCAUAGCUGGUCUGAGAGGAUGAUCAGCCACACUGGGACUGAGACACGGCCCAGACUCCUACGGGAGGCAGCAGUGGGGAAUAUUGGACAAUGGGCGAAAGCCUGAUCCAGCCAUGCCGCGUGAGUGAUGAAGGCCUUAGGGUUGUAAAGCUCUUUCAGUGGGGAAGAUAAUGACGGUACCCACAGAAGAAGCCCCGGCUAACUUCGUGCCAGCAGCCGCGGUAAUACGAAGGGGGCUAGCGUUGUUCGGAUUUACUGGGCGUAAAGCGCACGUAGGCGGAUCGUUAAGUCGGGGGUGAAAUCCUGGAGCUCAACUCCAGAACUGCCUUCGAUACUGGCGAUCUUGAGUCCGGAAGAGGUGAGUGGAACUCCUAGUGU